This 131-nucleotide small nucleolar RNA is filed under the name Echinops telfairi (small Madagascar hedgehog). Its description in RNAcentral is "Small nucleolar RNA SNORA70 (ENSETEG00000026817.1)". It matches the Rfam family "Small nucleolar RNA SNORA70". From Rfam's summary of the family: snoRNA U70 seems to be exclusive to mammals and is a member of the H/ACA class of snoRNA which contain H (ANANNA) and ACA box motifs. The record is from RNAcentral. Lineage: Eukaryota; Metazoa; Chordata; Mammalia; Afrosoricida; Tenrecidae.
CUGCGACCAAUGAAACUGCCUGUCCUUCCUCUGGAAGAUGGCGUGCAAAGGCCGUGAAAAGCAACCUGCUUGGUAGUAGACUCAGCCAGGUGCCAUGCCUGGGGCUGUCCUAUGGGACCUCGGAGACAGCC